AUUGAACGCUAGCGGGAUGCUUUACACAUGCAAGUCGAACGGCAGCGCGGACUUCGGUCUGGCGGCGAGUGGCGAACGGGUGAGUAAUGUAUCGGAACGUGCCCAGUAGCUUGGGAUAACUACGCGAAAGCGUAGCUAAUACCGCAUACGCCCUACGGGGGAAAGCAGGGGAUCGUAAGACCUUGCACUAUUGGAGCGGCCGAUAUCGGAUUAGCUAGUUGGUGAGGUAACGGCUCACCAAGGCGACGAUCCGUAGCUGGUUUGAGAGGACGACCAGCCACACUGGAACUGAGACACGGCCCAGACUCCUACGGGAGGCAGCAGUGGGGAAUUUUGGACAAUGGGGGCAACCCUGAUCCAGCCAUCCCGCGUGUGCGAUGAAGGCCUUCGGGUUGUAAAGCACUUUUGGCAGGAAAGAAACGUCGCGGGCUAAUGCCCCGUGGAACUGACGGUACCUGAAGAAUAAGCACCGGCUAACUACGUG
Molecule: ribosomal RNA, 484 nt
Filed under: uncultured bacterium
Lineage: Bacteria
Description: partial 16S ribosomal RNA
Rfam family: Bacterial small subunit ribosomal RNA
Source: RNAcentral